This 253-nucleotide ribosomal RNA is filed under the name uncultured bacterium. RNAcentral's name for it is "partial 16S ribosomal RNA". It matches the Rfam family "Bacterial small subunit ribosomal RNA", at positions 524 to 776 of the family's 1533-position model. The record is from RNAcentral.
UACGUAGGGGGCAAGCGUUGUCCGGAAUUAUUGGGCGUAAAGAGCUCGUAGGCGGCUUGUCGCGUCGUCCGUGAAAACCUGCAGCUCAACUGCAGGCUUGCGGUCGAUACGGGCAGGCUAGAGUUCGGUAGGGGAGACUGGAAUUCCUGGUGUAGCGGUGAAAUGCGCAGAUAUCAGGAGGAACACCGGUGGCGAAGGCGGGUCUCUGGGCCGAUACUGACGCUGAGGAGCGAAAGCGUGGGGAGCGAACAGG